GCCCCAUUGGCGGAAUUGGUAGACGCGCUUGACUCAAAAUCAAGUGUCCAAAAGGCGUGCUGGUUCGAGUCCGGCAUGGGGCACCA
Molecule: transfer RNA, 86 nt
Filed under: Taklimakanibacter albus
Lineage: Bacteria; Pseudomonadati; Pseudomonadota; Alphaproteobacteria; Hyphomicrobiales; Aestuariivirgaceae
Description: tRNA-Leu
Rfam family: tRNA
About the family: Transfer RNA (tRNA) molecules are approximately 80 nucleotides in length. Their secondary structure includes four short double-helical elements and three loops (D, anti-codon, and T loops).
Source: RNAcentral